AGUUAAAUGUAAGACUAAGUUGACAAUCUGGGCUUUGUUCACAAGAAUGCAUGCAUCGUCUUGAUCGGACCUUCUGCUCCCUUUGAAGUUGGCUGUCCCUGCAUCCUUGGAUGGUUUGGAAAUCCAGGUGCUCCCAGGAUAAGAAACACAAAGAAGUCAGAAGAACAGGCAUCAUGAGAACUGCUGCUACCACAGGCACAAAGUGCAGGGCUCCAGGAGGCCAGAUCAUGGCAAAUGCAGGCCCAAGCAUGGCAAACAUGGCACCAAUACGUUUUACCCUUUACCCUUCUCUGUACUGCUAAACCAUUAGAUGACAUUCCUAAAGCUAGCCCCCAGAUCUAUUCCCUUAUUUGGUCACUGACUCAUUCCUGAGACUGAUUAGCAAGUCCAACUAUCAAAAUACCAAGGUCCAGCAAUCAAAAUUCAUCAUCUGACUAACCUAACCAAAAUAUCCAAUCAGAACUUACCAGCACAUCCCGGUUCAUUCUAACACAGACCUCCCCUUUUCCCCUAUUAAAACCAUUUGCUGCUGAUUCUGCCCGAUUCAGAUGCAGUCAUUUUGUCUUUUUGCCUUG
Long non-coding RNA from Alexandromys fortis (reed vole), 575 nucleotides. RefSeq lists it as uncharacterized. The transcript has 4 exons. The record is from RefSeq and is a predicted model, not a curated record. Lineage: Eukaryota; Metazoa; Chordata; Mammalia; Rodentia; Cricetidae.